CCUGUCUCAGCCGCUCAGGAGACGUCAUUGAACCUCUUCUAAAGAAGCAGUGGUUCGUCCGCUGUGAUGAAAUGGCUAAAAAAGCUGUAGAGGCUGUGGAGGACGGACAGCUGGAAAUCAUCCCUCACUACUACACCAAGACAUGGAAGAAGUGGCUGUCCAACAUCAGUGACUGGUGCAUUUCCAGGCAGCUUUGGUGGGGUCAUCAGAUCCCUGCUUACCGAGUGGAGCUUCCUAACUGUCCUGUCAAAGAAGAGG
This is a long non-coding RNA of Seriola dumerili (greater amberjack), 258 nucleotides long. RefSeq lists it as uncharacterized. The record is from RefSeq and is a predicted model, not a curated record. The transcript has 3 exons. NCBI's taxonomy places the organism in Eukaryota, Metazoa, Chordata, Actinopteri, Carangiformes, Carangidae.